UACAGAGGGGGCAAGCGUUUGUUCGGAAUUACUGGGCGUAAAGGGCGCGUAGGCGGCCUGUUAAGUCGAACGUGAAAUCCCCCGGGCUCAACCCGGGAACUGCGUCCGAUACUGGCAGGCUUGAAUUCGGGAGAGGGAUGCGGAAUUCCAGGUGUAGCGGUGAAAUGCGUAGAUAUCUGGAGGAACACCGGUGGCGAAGGCGGCAUCCUGGACCGA
Molecule: ribosomal RNA, 216 nt
Filed under: uncultured bacterium
Lineage: Bacteria
Description: partial 16S ribosomal RNA
Rfam family: Bacterial small subunit ribosomal RNA
Source: RNAcentral